Molecule: long non-coding RNA, 187 nt
Organism: Juglans microcarpa x Juglans regia
Lineage: Eukaryota; Viridiplantae; Streptophyta; Magnoliopsida; Fagales; Juglandaceae
Exons: 4
Source: RefSeq, a predicted model, not a curated record
CCCUCCGUGAGAUGGCUUUGACUCCAUUAGCUUAGGUCUUGUAUGGAGUUGGCUUGUAGCAACUUUACAAGUGGCUACUGAUGCAACCAUGGUGCACACGGAGGAAGGGUGUCAAUGACUUGGCACCAUGCGGCGGUGAAUAUAGUGGUGCAAAGGCUGGACAUUAGUUUUUGAUUUGAAAUUGCGU